Molecule: small nuclear RNA, 101 nt
Organism: Elaeis guineensis (African oil palm)
Lineage: Eukaryota; Viridiplantae; Streptophyta; Magnoliopsida; Arecales; Arecaceae
Source: RefSeq, a predicted model, not a curated record
GUGCUUCGGAGACAUUUGAUAAAAUUGGAACGAUACAGAGAAGAUUGGCAUGGCCCUGCGCAAGGCUGACACCAACAAAUUGAGAAUGAUAUUUUAAUAAU